This is an RNA transcript of Vitis riparia (riverbank grape), 2487 nucleotides long. It is a transcript of the gene named pentatricopeptide repeat-containing protein At1g02370, mitochondrial-like, with no coding region annotated. NCBI's taxonomy places the organism in Eukaryota, Viridiplantae, Streptophyta, Magnoliopsida, Vitales, Vitaceae. The record is from RefSeq and is a predicted model, not a curated record. The transcript has 3 exons.
UCGCUGAGGAGCAAACAUCGUCUGCGCUGCAUCCACCAUUAAACCCUAAGGAAACCCAAUUGAGCAAGGACUGAGAGAGAUGAUGGCAAGGAACCCUAACCGUUUGUUCUCCGCCGGAGCUUUGCUCGCGAGAAGGCUCUGUACUGCGGCUGUGGCGACAGAGACGGAGGAGGUGGCGGUGCAGGCGGCGAGCCGAAGUGUAAGACAACCGCCGCUCUAUCGUCGGUUGUCAGCUUUGGGAGCCACCGGCGGGAGUGUGGCAGAUACGUUAAACGAGUACAUCAAGGAGGGAAAAUUCAUUGCAAAGCAUGACCUCUCAAGUUGCAUCAAGCAGCUGCGGAAGUACCGUCAGUUCCAGCAUGCACUUGAGAUAAUGGAUUGGAUGGAGAAUAGGAAGAUUUUCUUCUCCUAUGCUGACUAUGCAGUACGCCUGGAUCUUUUAUCAAAAACCAAGGGGUUAGCCACAGCUGAGGAAUACUUCAACAACCUCUCACCAUCAGCAAAGAACCUAUUAACUUAUGGAACUCUUCUAAACUGCUAUUGCAAAGAAAAGAUGGAAGAGAAGGCAUUGGCUCUCUUUGAGAAGAUGGAUGAAUUGAACUUUGCUUCUACUUCUUUGACGUUUAACAAUCUAAUGUCCCUACAUAUGAGAUUGGGCAAGCCAGAGAUGGUUCCUCCCCUAGUAGAUGAAAUGAAGAAGAGGAGCAUCUCUCCAGACACCUUUACUUAUAAUAUCUUGAUGCAGAGCUAUGCACGUUUAAAUGAUAUCGAGGGUGCAGAGAGAGUUUUAGAGGAGAUUAAAAGGGAGAAUGAAGACAAGCUCAGUUGGACAACUUAUAGUAACCUUGCUGCAGUUUAUGUCAAUGCUAGGCUUUUUGAGAAAGCGGAGUUAGCUCUUAAAAAGCUAGAGGAAGAGAUGGGCUUUCAUGACCGUCUGGCUUACCAUUUUCUUAUUAGUCUUUAUGCUGGCAUUAAUAAUCUUAGUGAGGUUAAUCGGGUAUGGAAUUCUUUGAAGUCAGCUUUUCCAAAAACUAAUAAUAUGAGCUAUUUCGUUAUGUUUCAGGCUCUUGCUAACCUUAAUGAUGUGGAUGGCUUAAAAAUUUGUUUUGAGGAAUGGAAGUCAAGUUGCUUCAGUUUUGAUGUGAGGUUAGCAAAUGUUGCCGUUAGGGCUUUCCUAGGAUGGGAUAUGAUCAAAGAUGCUGAAUCAAUCCUUUAUGAGGCUGUUAAGAGAUCUUCAGGACCCUUUUAUACUGCACUGGACAUGUUCAUGGCUCACCACUUGAAGGACCGUGAAAUUGAUACGGCUCUGAAAUACAUGGAAGCAGCUGCUUCUGAAGUUAAGAACAAUGAAUGGCAGCCAGCCCCAGAACGAGUACUGGCAUUUCUGAAGUAUUUUGAGGAAGAGAAAGAUGUGGAGGGUGCUGAGAAGUUCUGCAAGAUCUUAAAGAACAUCAGUGGUCUUGAUUCAAAUGCCUACCAACUAUUGCUUCAGACUUACAUAGCUGCUGGCAGAACAGAACCCGAGAUGCGGAAGAGGAUGAAGGAGGAUGAUAUUGAAGUGGACUCCAAGAUUGAGGAUUUGCUUCAAAGGGUUUGCCCUGAAUAGAUCAGAGACUGUAGGAUAGUCCUCCAGAACAAGACAAAACGUUAAAACUUCUUUAAUUCUUUCAUUUAGUGAAUCUGCAAUCAGCACAGUUGAUGGAUGCAGCAACUCCUGGAGCUAGCUCUCACUUGAGUCAUCACGUAUGGGUUUCAAGAGUUGUAUCUGAGCUUGGUUGUUGUGAUAAUGCUUUAUAUGGUGUGGAGCUGAACUGUGGCAAUGGAUCUGAACAGAAUAGAAUUUAGAGGGAUUGCCGAAGUGCCUGGAGAAUAUUGUCAAUUCAUUGGCAGACUGGACCCUGCAUUUCCUUAGGCUCAAGGUGUUGUUUAUAAUGUCUUCAUUCUAAACCUAAGGAAUGGUUUUGCGGUAUUCUGCAUUUUGAAGCGAAACUGGAUAUUGUUGGGCUCCCUCGUAUGUGAGAGAGUGGUUACAUAUGCUUGGGGACCACAUUGGUUGCAUUGGACAUGACAAAAAGGGACAAUUUUUUUUUUUUUAAAAAAAAAGGGAAAAACAAAGAGAAGAGAAGAGAGAAAAUCGCAUCUCCCUACCCAAAUUUCACCAACAAGUCGAUUCACCUUCAUUUGUGAUCCGAUCGAGUUGAAAUUUGGAAGAGAGGUUUGAAACUCAAGUAGCUAAAAUUUGAAUGGUGGAGAUCAGAUUUUGAGCUCAGGAAUUGAUGUUACUGCCCGUGAACAGUAACAACGCUUUUGGUAUACUUUCUCCAAUUUUCUUUGUUUUGUCAAGAAAGAUUGUAUAAUCCAAGGUUAUAUGUGUUCUUGAUGGAUUUGGCAGUCUUUGGAGAUUAUUCUAGAAAAGACAAGUGUGACUCAUUAUUGUUGAUAGUGGAAGUUUGAAUUGAAUUAAGUUUUGUGGUUUUUCCCUUCGCA